AAUUUGAUUGGUCCAAAUGGGCGAGGGGUCCCUCUACAAACACUUGCUUGGAUGUGUCUGAUACAGUCAUAAAUGCACGUUUCUGGUUGACUGUUGAUCAUAUACUUUUAACGUCGGAACCUAUUCUGAAGGUGCUAAGGAUUGUGGAUGACGACUCCAAACCGAAUAUGACUUACCUCGAAGGAGCCUUCUUAGAGGCAAAAAAAGCUAUAAAGAACAACUUUGAAGGGGAUUCGAGUUUGUAUCUUCCGAUCCAUACUCUUAUGGACAA
This 271-nucleotide long non-coding RNA is filed under the name Zostera marina. Its description in RNAcentral is "long non-coding RNA (ZMAR_LNC004583)". Lineage: Eukaryota; Viridiplantae; Streptophyta; Magnoliopsida; Alismatales; Zosteraceae. The record is from RNAcentral.